This 1123-nucleotide ribosomal RNA is filed under the name uncultured bacterium. RNAcentral describes it as "bacterial SSU rRNA". It matches the Rfam family "Bacterial small subunit ribosomal RNA", at positions 47 to 1162 of the family's 1533-position model. The record is from RNAcentral.
AUUGAUUUUAUGCUUGCAUAAAUGAUUUUUGGAUUCGGAGCGAGUGGCGAACUGGUGAGUAACACGUGGGUAACCUGCCCCGAAGCGGGGGAUAACAUUUGGAAACAAGUGCUAAUACCGCAUAAUUAGUUGGAACCGCAUGGUUCCAACUUGAAAGAUGGCUCUGCUAUCACUUUGGGAUGGACCCGCGCCGUAUUAGUUAGUUGGUGAGAUAAAAGCCCACCAAGACGAUGAUACGUAGCCGACCUGAGAGGGUAAUCGGCCACAUUGGGACUGAGACACGGCCCAGACUCCUACGGGAGGCAGCAGUAGGGAAUCUUCCACAAUGGACGAAAGUCUGAUGGAGCAACGCCGCGUGAGUGAUGAAGGUUUUCGGAUCGUAAAACUCUGUUGUUAAAGAAGAACAAGUGUUAGAGUAACUGUUAACACUUUGACGGUAUUUAACCAGAAAGCCACGGCUAACUACGUGCCAGCAGCCGCGGUAAUACGUAGGUGGCAAGCGUUGUCCGGAUUUAUUGGGCGUAAAGCGAGCGCAGGCGGUUUUGUAAGUCUGCUGUGAAAGCCCUCAGCUCAACUGAGGAAGUGCAGUGGAAACUACAAAACUUGAGUACAGAAGAGGAAAGUGGAACUCCAUGUGUAGCGGUGAAAUGCGUAGAUAUAUGGAAGAACACCAGUGGCGAAGGCGGUUUUCUGGUCUGUUACUGACGCUGAGGCUCGAAAGCAUGGGUAGCGAACAGGAUUAGAUACCCUGGUAGUCCAUGCCGUAAACGAUGAAUACUAGGUGUUGGAGGGUUUCCGCCCUUCAGUGCCGCAGCUAACGCAUUAAGUAUUCCGCCUGGGGAGUACGACCGCAAGGUUGAAACUCAAAGGAAUUGACGGGGGCCCGCACAAGUGGUGGAGCAUGUGGUUUAAUUCGAUGCUACGCGAAGAACCUUACCAGCUCUUGACAUCUUCUGCCAACCCAAGAGAUUGGGCGUUCCCUUCGGGGACAGAAUGACAGGUGGUGCAUGGUUGUCGUCAGCUCGUGUCGUGAGAAGUUGGGUUAAGUCCCGCAACGAGCGCAACCCUUAUUAUUAGUUGCCAGCAUUUAGUUGGGCACUCUAGUGAGACUGCCGGUGAUAAA